This 1568-nucleotide long non-coding RNA is filed under the name Crocodylus porosus (Australian saltwater crocodile). RNAcentral's name for it is "lncRNA (ENSCPRG00005016995.1)". The record is from RNAcentral. Lineage: Eukaryota; Metazoa; Chordata; Crocodylia; Crocodylidae.
CCACUUCUUUUGUUCCCGUUCAAAAGCAGCCAGCAGGUCUGUUGCAUUUGAUGACCUUUACAUAAUGCUGCCUUGUCUUCCUCAGUGGCCUGGAAAGUACAGCUAAUGUACCUGAGAGGAUUCGUAGACAGGAGUCACCAGUGUUGUCCUUCAGCUGUGUGACUGCAGAGCACCUGCUGAGUGUGUUUGCAGCAUCCGGGGUUCUGUUUUCCAGUGGAAACCCUAAGGGGGCCAGACUGUCUCUGUUUUCUCCUGGGGCUCGCUGCAACACAGGCUUUCCCCGCCGGGAUACUUCUCCCCUUCGCUUGAGAGCGCUCUGCAGGAGGCUUCACUAUCUUUGCCCAACAAGUCCACUGACAUCUGGAGGAUGGGAUUGAGUGCAUUCUUAGCAAAUGUGCAGAUGACACGAAGUUGGAUAGAGUUGCAGAUACUCUGAAGACUAGGGCUAGGAUCCAGAAUGACCUGGAUAGACUGGAGAAAUGGUUCACAAUCAAUCCAAAGAUAUUCAUCAAGGCCCCAGACUAUUCAAUGACUUCCAGAGGUGUAGCAAGCUCUUCCAGUGCCUGGAGCAGAGGUUUUUGUUUGUGUCUGGUGCGGGGUUGGGGGGAAUUAUGCUGACCACUGGAGAGUGGGUAGAGGAGAGGGUCACACGGAGAGGGAGAGAAGUCUUACCUGCCCCAGUUUUCCUUGCUUGGGUUGCAGCUGCUACUGCUGUGGAUGUUACUGCUGAGGGAUGAGUAGCAUGGGCUUCCUGGGGGCCUGUUUGCUGCUCCCCACCCCCAGCGGAUACAGGGUUGUUUCUUCCAUGGCAAAGCCUCCUGGGGAGGACAGCAAUAGGGAUGAUCCUGCCUCAGGCAGGGGGCUAGACUAGAUGACCACUGGAGUUUGCUUCCAGCCUGACUUCUCUAUGAUUCCCCACAAAUACACUACUGGGAAAAGGGCUGCAUCUGUCCAGAUCCUAUGGCCAGGCAGUGCAGGGCUAUGCCCACCAUGGCAAACACACCGGAGGGGGGAAGGAGACCAUACUGGCACCCCCUCUAAGUUGGUGUCCAGGGAUGGUGCCCCUCUCCCCCCCAUACCCCAAGUUAUGCUACUGAAGAAUUCAAUCUGAAACCAGUUUUUUGGCAAAUACACUAUUUGACUGAAAAAAUUCACCCAGGCCAGUAAACCCGGGUGUUAGUUAUUUGUCAGUAUUCCAACACCCGCCGUGUCCCAAUGAAAGCAUUCAUGAAUCCUGAACCUUUCCCAGGUGUUAGCAGAAAAGAUUAUUGGUUUGAAAAUUCAUGCCGGAAAGUCUGAUAGCUGUUAUUCACCAGUUGAAAGUGUACGUCAAAGCCAAUGCCAUGUGAAAUAGAAGCAAUGCCAUGUGACUAAGUGGACCCACUGACAGUGACUAUUCACCAGCAUGAUCACACCUACCUUGAUCAUAAAUUAGACCUACACGGAUUCCAACCUACCGAGUUAUAAGUCAUCAACCAGAUUUUGGGAAAUGUCAAGUGUCAUAGGAAAUGAUGAAAAUAGUCCAGACAGACUGUAAUGACCGUGAGCUCUGCCUUAGCUCCUCCUGG